UAACAAGGAUUCCCCUAGUAACUGCGAGUGAAGAGGGAAAAGCUCAAAUUUAAAAUCUGGCGGUCCUUGCGGCUGUCCGAGUUGUAAUUUAGAGAAGUGUCGCCCGUGUUGGACCGUGUACAAGUCUCCUGGAACGGAGCGUCGUAGAGGGUGAGAAUCCCGUAUAUGACACGGACUACCAAUGCAUUGUGGUGUGCUCUCGAAGAGUCGAGUUGUUUGGGAAUGCAGCUCAAAAUGGGUGGUAAAUUCCAUCUAAAGCUAAAUAUAGGCGAGAGACCGAUAGCGAACAAGUACCGUGAGGGAAAGAUGAAAAGAACUUUGGAAAGAGAGUUAAACAGUACGUGAAAUUGUUGAAAGGGAAACGCUUAAAGUCAGUCGCAUUUGUUGAAGAUCAACCUGGCCUUUUGGCUUGGUGCACUCUUUGAUGAAUGGGUCAGCAUCAAUUUUGACCGAGGGAAAAAGUUGAAGGGAAUGUGGCACCUCUCGGGGUGUGUUAUAGCCUUUUUUCAUAUACCUCGGUUGGGAUUGAGGAACUCAGCACGCCCGCAAGGGUUGGGCUUCGGCUACAUACGUGCUUAGGAUGCUGGCGUAAU
RNAcentral lists this ribosomal RNA (593 nucleotides) under uncultured Cristinia. Its description in RNAcentral is "eukaryotic LSU rRNA". It matches the Rfam family "Eukaryotic large subunit ribosomal RNA", at positions 66 to 635 of the family's 3401-position model. The record is from RNAcentral. Lineage: Eukaryota; Fungi; Basidiomycota; Agaricomycetes; Atheliales; Atheliaceae.